Molecule: RNA transcript, 305 nt
Organism: Ictalurus punctatus (channel catfish)
Lineage: Eukaryota; Metazoa; Chordata; Actinopteri; Siluriformes; Ictaluridae
Gene name: actinodin3
Exons: 3
Source: RefSeq, a predicted model, not a curated record
AUUUUUCUAGAAACUCAGUGAACAGUUUUAACAUUUUCAUCCUGCUCAGGUUUCGAAGAUGUUCUCCUCCCCCAUGUCUCUUGUUGGGGCAUUGUCCUGUUUCUUAAUCCUGCCUUCUCUUCUGCAGGCGACGCCUCUCACAAAGCUUGCUGAUGAAGCUAACAAAUCAGGUCAGUCUUUAAGUAUCGACUCAUUUGAAGCGCUUAACUUCCUGGCGCGUUCUCGCCGUUCAGCUGAGCCAAAAUGGUACCGCAAGGAUCCAGACUUCCAAUCCUACUAUGGAUACUACAGCAGCAUUGGACAUG